Molecule: ribosomal RNA, 492 nt
Filed under: uncultured bacterium
Lineage: Bacteria
Description: partial 16S ribosomal RNA
Rfam family: Bacterial small subunit ribosomal RNA
Source: RNAcentral
AGUGAACGCUGGCGGUAGGCCUAACACAUGCAAGUCGAACGGCAGCACAGUAAGAGCUUGCUCUUACGGGUGGCGAGUGGCGGACGGGUGAGGAAUAUAUCGGAAUCUACUUUUUCGUGGGGGUUAACGUAGGGAAACUUACGCUCAUACCGCAUACGACCUACGGGUGAAAGCAGGGGAUAUUCGGACCUUGCGCGAUUGAAUGAGCCGAUGUCGGAUUAGCUAGUUGGCGGGGUAAAGGCCCACCAAGGCGCCGAUCCGUAGCUGGUCUGAGAGACUGAUCGGCCGCACUGGAACUGAGACACGGUCCAGACUCCUACGGGAGGCAGCAGUGGGGAAUAGUGGACAAUGGGCGCAAGCCUGAUCCAGCCAUACCGCGUGGGUGAAGAAGGCCUUCGGGUUGUAAAGCCCUUUUGUUGGGAAAGAAAAGCAGCAGGUUAAUACCCCGCUGUUCUGACGGUACCCAAAGAAUAAGCACCGGCUAACUUCGUG